GACAGAGGGGGCAAGCGUUGCUCGGAAUCACUGGGCGUAAAGGGCGCGUAGGCGGGAUGGCAAGUCGGUCGUGAAAUCUCUCGGCUCAACCGAGAAACGUCGGCCGAUACUGCCGUUCUUGAGGGAGGCAGAGGAGACUGGAAUUCCCGGUGUAGCGGUGAAAUGUGUAGAGAUCGGGAGGAACACCGGUGGCGAAGGCGGGUCUCUGGGCACUUCCUGACGCUGAGGCGCGAAAGCGUGGGGAGCAAACGGG
Molecule: ribosomal RNA, 253 nt
Filed under: uncultured bacterium
Lineage: Bacteria
Description: partial 16S ribosomal RNA
Rfam family: Bacterial small subunit ribosomal RNA
Source: RNAcentral